This 212-nucleotide unclassified non-coding RNA is filed under the name Hevea brasiliensis (rubber tree). Lineage: Eukaryota; Viridiplantae; Streptophyta; Magnoliopsida; Malpighiales; Euphorbiaceae. The record is from RNAcentral.
GCGGCCUUGCUUGGAUUUUCUACGAGUUAUUUCAGUGGGAUUGGAGUACCAUCUUUGCCAUUUUUCUGGUCUGAUUUUGGGAUUUUUCAGAAAAGAAAGAGUGAAAAAAAGCGCAUUCGGGUUUACAUGGAUGGUUGUUUUGAUCUCAUGCAUUUUGGUCAUGCCAAUGCGUUGAGGCAAGCUAAGGCUCUGGGUGAUGAACUGGUGGUGGG